Small nucleolar RNA from Caenorhabditis elegans, 259 nucleotides. Lineage: Eukaryota; Metazoa; Nematoda; Chromadorea; Rhabditida; Rhabditidae. The record is from Ensembl.
GUAAGUUAUGUGUACUUUUUUGGAAACAAGUGAAUCACAGCCGAAAAAAUAAUUCUGAUCAAGUCGUACUAGUUUUCCUUAAUGACGCCUUAGAACCCAUUUGCCGGUCUAAACGAAACACCGGUGACCGGCGAAUGAAUUGAAGGACAUGGCUCAAGAAUACAAGCCCAAUUUGAGCAAGUAGUUUUCAAUUAAUUUGGUCAGACAAUCUAUUCUUCGGUUAUGAUUAACAUGUUGCCAAAAAGCUACAUAAACACUG